CAACAUAGGAUAGCGCCAGGCUUAUCAUUAAGAAUGAUAAGUGACGAGGAUUGAGUUUAUCGAAUGAUUCGGCGGGUGACUCAAGGCAGUGCAGUCUACAGCAAUAUACAAAAAUCUCUGUGGGGAUACAAAAUUUUUGCAUGCACCAGA
RNAcentral lists this non-coding RNA (150 nucleotides) under Granulicatella elegans. RNAcentral's name for it is "GlcN6P sequence". It matches the Rfam family "glmS glucosamine-6-phosphate activated ribozyme aptamer". From Rfam's summary of the family: This entry contains a glucosamine-6-phosphate activated ribozyme that is found in the mRNA for GlmS. GlmS is an enzyme that uses fructose-6-phosphate and glutamine to generate glucosamine-6-phosphate. The ribozyme catalyses self cleavage of the glmS mRNA that is thought to regulate GlmS activity. The record is from RNAcentral. Lineage: Bacteria; Bacillati; Bacillota; Bacilli; Lactobacillales; Carnobacteriaceae. RNAcentral also lists the same sequence under 1 other name.